This 1082-nucleotide long non-coding RNA is filed under the name Monodelphis domestica (gray short-tailed opossum). RNAcentral's name for it is "lncRNA (ENSMODG00000045755.1)". The record is from RNAcentral. Lineage: Eukaryota; Metazoa; Chordata; Mammalia; Didelphimorphia; Didelphidae.
UGAGGAUAAAAUGCAAGCCCAAUUAGAAGAUCUAAAAAGUUUCUUACAGGAUCAAUUGGCAAACAACCACUCUACCAGAAACAGACCUCUUUCUGAACCUUUGAAUGAGGAAAUUUCCUUCCCUGAAAUAGAGAUGGAAAACACCUUCCCUAUAGCCCAGUUAACAGACUGCUUCUCUCGUGCAGUGCAAAUCUUGACUGAAUUUAAUCCCCAAAACCCUUCCCCUGUAAUCCCAGUUUCUCAUGUUCCCUCUCCUACAGAAAACCAAAUUCCAACGCAAAGGAGAUCUUGUCCUCCUAGAGAAACCUGUCCUUGUCAAACUGACCCACAGGUACAAAAUUCAACUAGAGGCCUGUUUCCUCUAAGAGAAGUACCUGAAAUAGGACGGAAUGGGGAUGUGGUGACUUUAAGACAUAGGAUACCGUUUAGUCCCCAAGAAAUAAAUGAAUUUACACGAAAUAUCCCCACAUAUGAACAAGAUCCUUUUCUAGUAACAAAAAAGAUGGGAGACAUAUUUUUUCAGUAUAAUCCAUCUUACAAGGAUGUUGAGAACUUACUACAGGCUUUUUUAAGUGAAUGUGAAAAAAAUAAAAUAAUUUCUCAUGUCAACAAAACCAGGGGGCGUAAUGCAGCACAUUGGCCAUCUCAGGAUCCCGAAUGGGACUAUAACAAUCCUGAGGAUUAUCUACAACUAUACCGUUGUAGAGAGGCCAUCCUCACGGCAAUGAAGGAAUGUGCCGACAGUACAGAUAAGUGGAUGGAACUGGAAAAAAUUAAGCAAAAGGAAGAAGAAUCACCCUCCAGAUUUAUGGAUAGAAUUAUCGAGUUUGGGGACAGAUACUUAGAUUGGGACUUAACUAAAGAGAGUAGUUUAAGACAAGUUAGAAGAAUCUUUGUAAAUAACUCUUGCAAAGCAAUUAAGAAUUAUUUUAGAACACAAUGCCCAAGAUGGUCAGAUAUGGACCUUGAAGAAUUGCGAAAAACAGCUAUAUAUGUUUUAAAAGGGAAACAAAGAAAAGGAGAAAGAAAAUCAUGAUGACAUGAAGGAAGUGAAGAAAAAAAUAAGAUAUUUAAUAGAUAGG